RNAcentral lists this ribosomal RNA (602 nucleotides) under Sporobolomyces roseus. Its description in RNAcentral is "partial 26S ribosomal RNA". It matches the Rfam family "Eukaryotic large subunit ribosomal RNA", at positions 78 to 664 of the family's 3401-position model. Lineage: Eukaryota; Fungi; Basidiomycota; Microbotryomycetes; Sporidiobolales; Sporidiobolaceae. The record is from RNAcentral.
CCCUAGUAGCGGCGAGCGAAGCGGGAAAAGCUCAAAUUUGUAAUCUGGCGUCUACGACGUCCGAGUUGUAAUCUCGAGAAGUGUUUUCCGUGAUAGACCGCAUACAAGUCUCUUGGAACAGAGCGUCAUAGUGGUGAGAACCCAAUACACGAUGCGGAUGCCUAUUACUUUGUGAUACACUUUCGAAGAGUCGAGUUGUUUGGGAAUGCAGCUCAAAUUGGGUGGUAAAUUCCAUCUAAAGCUAAAUAUUGGCGAGAGACCGAUAGCGAACAAGUACCGUGAGGGAAAGAUGAAAAGCACUUUGGAAAGAGAGUUAACAGUACGUGAAAUUGUUGGAAGGGAAACACAUGCAGCCAGACUUGCUAUUCGGGGCAACUCGAUUGGCAGGCCCGCAUCAGUUUUUCGGGGCGGAAAAGCAUAGAGAGAAGGUAGCAAUUUCGGUUGUGUUAUAGCUCUUUAUUGGAUUCGCCCUGGGGGACUGAGGAACGCAGCGUGCUUUUAGCAUAAGCUUCGGCUUAUCCACGCUUAGGAUGCGGGUGUAAUGGCUGUAUAUGGUCCGUCUUGAAACACGGACCAUAAAACAGCCAUUACACCCGCAUCCU